Molecule: long non-coding RNA, 218 nt
Filed under: Elaeis guineensis (African oil palm)
Lineage: Eukaryota; Viridiplantae; Streptophyta; Magnoliopsida; Arecales; Arecaceae
Description: long non-coding RNA (EGUI_LNC064163)
Source: RNAcentral
AUGCAAAAAUAUUUUAUGCAGGGAGAAAGGUGGUGGCCUGAAGAGAAGAGUCUCUUGAUUUGAACUCUAGGUUUUUAUUCAAAUUCAAAUCUAUUUAAACUCAAAUUUAAACUAACCAAUUUUUAAUUUAGAAAGAGAUUAGAUGUGGACGUGAAACUACUUCUAAGCAUGAGAAAAAAAUUCAUGCAAAAAAUUUCUCGCUGAAGAAAUAGAGGGCA